This 696-nucleotide long non-coding RNA is filed under the name Oryza sativa Indica Group (long-grained rice). Its description in RNAcentral is "lncRNA OsMH63_01G029680". Lineage: Eukaryota; Viridiplantae; Streptophyta; Magnoliopsida; Poales; Poaceae. The record is from RNAcentral.
GAGCCUCGCGGGGCGCUUGACGAGCCCGGUCACCUCCACGAUCCUUGUCGACCAGUCCGCCUUGGGCACGGCGCCGUGGUUGCACACGUAGUGGAGUGGCGUCGACGUGAUGAAACCGUCAAGCAUGAGGCACGGCAGCAGCGGCUCGGAGUUAAAGGGGUGCUUGCCGGUGAGCCAGACGAGCACCGGGUGCCGACGCACCCACGCGUCACUGCGUCAGAGGUGGCCUCGUCGCAUGGGUCAUUGACGGGAGGCUCCACCUCGAGGCGCGAGUGGUACAACUACCUUCAGUCCGGUGGUAUGUCGUCAUCGUCGUCGGAGUCGGUCUUGGAGCCCAACCGACGGUUGUCGCCGGUGGAUGGGAACAAGUCGAUGUUGCUCGACGACUCAUUGCUCGCCACCAUGGAACAGCUUGACCGUGGAGUUCCCCGUCACGUUGGUUUGCGCGGGCAACCAACACAAGGAGCAGAACAUGUCCAACAACUCAUUCCUCGGUUCCUCGCCUUGACAAUUAACAUAGGGAAGGGAAGGAAUCAACUAUCAGUAAGAGGGUUAGCAGAAGACUCCAUAGCUCUAGCUCAAGUGACGGACAUUGUUGAGAUAACUGCAUCUCCUCCUUGUGUGCCCUCAACAGACAACCGUUUUGCGAAAGGAAAGUGGCUUCAGACCAACGAGGACCUGACUUUUAUGUGGUAA